GCACGUAGUUAGCCGGACCUUACAAAUAGUACCGUCAUUUAUUCUUCCUAUUCUUACGAAGUUUACAUCCCGAAAGACUUCAUCCUUCACGCGGCGUUGCUGGGUCAGGCUUUCGCCCAUUGCCCAAAAUUCCCGACUGCUGCCUCCCGUAGGAGUCUGACCCGUUAUUCAGUGUCAGUGUGUCCGACCGUCCUCUUAGACCGGAUACAGAUCGUAGCCUUGGUAAGCCAUUACCUUACCAACAAGCUAAUCUGCCGCAAGCUCCUCUUCAAGCGAUAAAUCUUUAACAACUGUCAUCAUUAGAUGCCGCUGCAUUAUGCGGUAUUAGCGUCCGUUUCCGAACGUUAUUCCCCACUCGAAGGUAGAUUACUUACGUGUUACUCACCCGUACGCCGCUUUAUAUCUUUCCCGAAGGAAAGUUUAAUCGCUCGACUUGCAUGUCUGAGGCACGCCGCCAGCGUUGAUU
This 466-nucleotide ribosomal RNA is filed under the name uncultured bacterium. RNAcentral's name for it is "partial 16S rRNA". The record is from RNAcentral.